UCGAGAAUCAUUCACAAUGGGGGAAACCCUGAUGGUGCGACGCCGCGUGGGGGAAUGAAGGUCUUCGGAUUGUAAACCCCUGUCAUGUGGGAGCAAAUUAAAAAGAUAGUACCACAAGAGGAAGAGACGGCUAACUCUGUGCCAGCAGCCGCGGUAAUACAGAGGUCUCAAGCGUUGUUCGGAAUCACUGGGCGUAAAGCGUGCGUAGGCUGUUUCGUAAGUCGUGUGUGAAAGGCGCGGGCUCAACCCGCGGACGGCACAUGAUACUGCGAGACUAGAGUAAUGGAGGGGGAACCGGAAUUCUCGGUGUAGCNAGUGAAAUGCGUAGAUAUCGAGAGGAAC
Molecule: ribosomal RNA, 342 nt
Filed under: uncultured Akkermansia sp.
Lineage: Bacteria; Pseudomonadati; Verrucomicrobiota; Verrucomicrobiia; Verrucomicrobiales; Akkermansiaceae
Description: bacterial SSU rRNA
Rfam family: Bacterial small subunit ribosomal RNA
Source: RNAcentral